CGUGCCGUGGGCAUGUCGCUAGCGUUGGCGUGAUUUUUGAGCGUUGCACGGCUUUUACAACGUUCAGGACAUGACAUGUAUCGAGCUUGUAACAUAAGACAAGCUUCGCGAGCGAUGCGUGUCAACGCCACUCGCUGUCGCUGAGUCGAGCCGUUGCGUUUUGCGUAGUUCAUACGCCGUCGGGGAACUUGGCUGUGCUAGCUGCCGCGAUGCAAGAAGCACCAAGCUCGCCGAAAACAGUCGUGGUGGUGCUUUGAAAACACGUGGUUUUAUCCAUCGGCAGUUACGGGCGACACAUCGCCGACACUUGGAAGUUGGCGUCCGUGCUACGAUUUAUAAAAAAAAGGAAAACAAAAUAGAAAAGAGACGACGGUGUCAGCGGCGUUGCAUCGCGGCGUCCGCGUUCGCUGUGGCGAGUUCGUUACCUGCACAGCUGCACUGCGUUCACACUUGCGAAGUGAUGGUGGGUGAUGGAUGCCGUGGGUAGGGCUGAAGGAUGUUCGACUUGCGGAAUCGGGACUUUCAAGAACAGGCAGGAGCAGUUUCAGCAUAGUUUCUCAUUGGAACACCACACAAGAGUUGACGAGCAAUCUCAGUCGACUUGGUAUCACAUCUGCGACCUCUGCAAGAAAAAGGCAGGGCCACUGCAGAACUUUGCUGACCACCUUUGUGGCCGCAAACAUCGCCGGGCGGUUGAGAUGUACAAGGAAACGUGGUUUGGCAAAGGAAGAAGCAUCCAGAGCGAAGCCUAAACCAAGCCUAAAACAGAGUGAAAGAGCAAAGGGUGUGUCCAAAGCCAACAAAAAGAAGCCACUUUCCAAGGCAAAACAGGUCAAAAAGGUGACAGCCAAGCAGUACAGAGGCUCAAAAAAGCCGACAAACCGUGCGGCCGUCGGCAAAAAGAGCACUAAGCAGGUCCUCAAGAACUGUGAUCGAAAGACUAGGUACGGCAACCAAGGGCACCAAAGGUCAAACGAUACCAAUUCACAGGACUACAAAGACAACCAGCAAAAGGAGCCGUCAAGAAGGGGGAGUUGGCCAUCUGACGGAUCAGGAGCCAAACCAAGCAAGAGGCCGUCUGUUCAACGGGACAGCAGUGAGCCAACACCGUGUCUGAGAUCAAGAGACGACACUCGCAACCCUUCCUCCAAGGACAGCUCCUUUGAGGGUGACUCAUCACUGGUAGAAGAGCCUGGCGACGACGGUGACUACGAAAUGAACAGGAACUGGAAUGGGCCCCCUCGUUUCCCGAUGAACCCGUAUGGUAGAGGGGCCUUCAUGGGCUAUGGUGGACGGGGUAAUCCUCCUUGGAACAGACCUCCUCCACCCCGACACCCUUUCAACCGGUACGAGGGUCCCAGGCAAUUUAAUAGGUACAGCCGUCAUCCGCCGGCAGAGAGCCCCUCCCCGUGGAGCAGCGACGACUACGGCUGUGGCUUUGGAUCGUAUGGAAACGGUGGGUGGCAAGGUGGCAACAAGUCUUGGAAUCGGGAUGCGCACGAGAACGACACACGUCACGACAACGACAGUGCCGGCAGACACGGCGGUCACAGGUCACAUCACCAUUCUCCAGAAAACACGUCCAAGACUGAUAGUCACAGUGAACACGCUGCGACUGGGGCUAGCAAGGAACAAGGUGAAAAACCAGCAAGCUGCAAUAACAGUAGCAGCAGCGCCAGCAGUUCAUCUAAGUCACAUGGUCAGGGCUCUAACGGAAAGCCCUCUGUGUCCGCAAAGUCAAGUACUCCAGCAAGCACCAGGUCCAGAUCAAGUACUCCAGCAAGCACCAGUGAACACAGCAGCAGCAAGGUGUCAUCGUUACCAGCAAAACUUUCAAAAUCAGCCGCUGGAGGAACAGCAACGGCCGCCUCGGCGGAAGAACCACCAGCUAGGAGAGGAGAAGGCGGCGCAAAGAGUGAUUUGUUGUCGCGCCAGUCUCAGAAGAAAGAUGUUCAGAUGCAGGAGCCAAGCAAACCUGUCAGCAAGAUUGUCAAAAAACCUUCAUUGCAAACUCCCGCCAUCAAGUUUACCUCCAAGAAGGCAGUUGCAACAUCCAGUCCAAGGCCGUCCCCCAGAAGUAAAUCGGCGGAUGGGUCGAAAGCAUUGGCAAGUCCUAUGAGAACAGGAGCAACAAGUUCAUCGGCACCACCAAGCAUGGUUGUUGGUAAACCAAGGCCCACAACUAGGAGCGGCACUUCGCCCUCACCGGCGGCGACUGAGAUGAAAAUAAAAGUGAAACAGGAGGCCAGCAAGGACAUGGGAAGUUCAACAGAAAACACCGUGGCUGCAUCAUCAUCUUCAUCUAAUCGGAAUCACCUCAUAUUUCUCUCCUCUGAAGAGGAAGAUGCAGACGCACCCGGUGAAACUGCGACAUUGAAGAAGAAGGCAAGACCGGAUGGCGACACCACGACGACCGAGAAGACGGUGCCAAGGCCAAAACACUGCAAUCCUGCUGCAGCAGCCAUGCCGCCUCCCAGCCCGGAUAGGGGGGAGCCUCAGGUGAAGAAGGUGGUUUUGAAGAGCCCAAAACUUGGGCCGCUUUCGACCAAGGACAUGUACCGUAGAGAUGUUCUGGACAAGCUGGUGAACUUCCCGUCAUCACCACAGGUGCAGGCGCAGCUCAACAAGUGGAUGAUGGAGAUGCAGAAGUCCCAAAGAUCUGUGACAUCGCGGAAGACGAUGAGGCUGUGCGCGACACAAGCUCGCCUGGGGCAGGAGGACGACGCCUUGCUGGGCAGCAUCCCCAACAUUGAUUUCGACGUGCUCCUCAGGCAGGUUGAGUCAUGCGAGCUCCCCGAGGAGAUGCUCAAGAGCCUAAUGCAGGCUCUCAACACAGAUGCGGAGCAGCCUCACUCGACCGCGGGUGAAGCACCGUCAUUGAUCGCGGCAAGUCUCGGCUCGAAAGGGAGUAGUCUGCACUUAACAUCAGAGUUGAGGGCAAGUCCUCGAUCGACGCCGCCUAUGGGCGGCGCAGCUGCAAAGUCUGUUGCCAUAAAAACGAGUCCGGCUUCCGCGAAGAUCUCGAGCGCUGCGGAGAGCCUGGGUUCAAAGAGCGCUUCAGGUGUUUCCACGAAGUCAGCAGCAACGACGAGCUCAUGCGGGGGCUGGCACUUCGUCUUCAGAGGACGAGUGCAUGGUGGUUCCGACCCCAAAGAAAAAUGUGGUGCCUGUGCUGAUAGACUCGGAUGACAACGGCUCGACGGACGACGAAGACAACAAGCCAAGCACAACAACGCCAACGGUAAAGGCGUUGGGUGGAAAGACCACACCUGAACAUUGUGCUCAGUCAUCGUCGCCGCUGGCACAGGAAGGCGGCCAUCGAGUGCGCAAGAUUCAAAAGCUUGCACGAAGAAAAGGCAGGCAGCCUUCUGAGAGCAUGGACGGCAGCCUCACUGACAGCGCCGCGGCAUCCUCAAGGCCUGUCGAAAGCAGCAGCAAUGCUAGGGCGGUGGAAUUGUCCCAAGAGUCGAAGAGGCUGUCACCGAGGUUGAAGAGCACCACACCCACCACUGCUGCUGGCUCUACGGCCAUGGUCACGUCGUCGGUAGCGUCCAGCAGUCGCGGCAGGUGCUCUGCACAGAUGUCAGUUUCCCCGCCCACCUUUCCAGAGGCUCCUUUGGAGCAGGUAGCAGCAGGGCACUCGCCGCUGCCAAACAGUUCCAAGCUCGCCACCACCACCGUCGGUGGCAAUUGUAGCCAAAGUGGAGCCACCCCCAACACCACCACCUCCUGCCGCGCUGCCUGAAGAUGCUGUGCCGCUGGAUGC
This is an RNA transcript of Dermacentor silvarum, 3766 nucleotides long. It is a transcript of the gene named zinc finger protein 106-like, with no coding region annotated. The record is from RefSeq and is a predicted model, not a curated record. Lineage: Eukaryota; Metazoa; Arthropoda; Arachnida; Ixodida; Ixodidae. The transcript is spliced from 9 exons.